Non-coding RNA from Betaproteobacteria bacterium RBG_16_66_20, 65 nucleotides. The record is from Rfam. Lineage: Bacteria; Pseudomonadati; Pseudomonadota; Betaproteobacteria.
CGGGGAUCGCAGGCUCCCCGCCGCAUUUUUCUUCAUUCCAAGACGCCGGUGCGUCCAAGCUCUGC